UAUACCCCUAAUGAUAUUGUGGGUGUAGCUGCUAUGUCACAUGUUCUUCAUUCAGUACGUUCAAUAAAGGAGAGAGGCUAUGUCUACACUCAGUGUUCUGACAUGUGAACAACUGAAUGAUUAAAAGCUUAACACU
Small nucleolar RNA from Grammomys surdaster, 136 nucleotides. RefSeq annotates it as small nucleolar RNA SNORA17. NCBI's taxonomy places the organism in Eukaryota, Metazoa, Chordata, Mammalia, Rodentia, Muridae. The record is from RefSeq and is a predicted model, not a curated record. The transcript has a single exon.